This is a long non-coding RNA of Hemicordylus capensis (graceful crag lizard), 3734 nucleotides long. RefSeq lists it as uncharacterized. The record is from RefSeq and is a predicted model, not a curated record. NCBI's taxonomy places the organism in Eukaryota, Metazoa, Chordata, Lepidosauria, Squamata, Cordylidae. The transcript has 4 exons.
UGCUGCGAGUCGCUUCACGCCUUUAUGCCUUCAGAGGCGCCUAAAAAACAUCAAGCCCUAAAAAACGCUUUUGAUCAAAACUGUAAAUCGGAAUUAAGUUGCAAAAAUAAGAAGAGAGUUGCCAGCCAUAUAAUUAUAAUUUAAUCUUAGAUAAGCUGCAGCUGCUGCUGAUAAACUAGAAGUUGGGUCUCGAAAGGAAAUAAAUGGUAUGGUUGUUCUCCCCCACCCCUCACUCUGCUGUGCUUGCAAGGUGUUUGGCCACAGGUUAAACAUUUAGGUAGCUUAUCCUGUUGCCAGAGAGACAGAAAAGUCCACCCCACCCCCCGGAAGAAUAGUAAAAUAAUACUGUGCAAAUUCUGCCCAUCGCGGCUGUGAAGUUCCUGGGUAGCUGUAGAGUCGUGCAUCAGCCCACUGGUGAUAUGGCUAGAGUAACGAAGGCUUCUCAAAAACUGGGAAAGAAAGGCAAGCCAUGGAAGAAGGCUAGCUUUUAUAAAAGUCUUCCUAAAAUUCUGGCAUCGUCCCACCACUGUCCUAGUGUGUCAGUAAUGCAGCAAAUCCACCAGCAUCCGAAAGCCUCUGGGUCUGGGAUGGUGCUUGACAAGGUAGUGCAUAGCUAUAAAAACCUGUGUUUCCAGACGGCUGCUAUCCUGGCCCUGAACGAAGCCUGCCAAGCCUAUCUGCUGAACCUGUAUGAGGACUGGAACCUGUGCGCUAUGCAUGCAAAGAGGGUUCGUGUCCUCUCUAGUGAUUUUCAUCUUGUCAGGUGCCUCCGGAGCGAGAUGAUGAGGUGAAGAUCUGCUCCUGUUUGACAGCAGCUUGCCUUGAAACAAAUGACUGGGCAGCAUCGGGAAUCCAGAAAUUAUUUUUCAAAGUUUUGUGCUUAAGAUUUGUUGCUCAAAAACAGGCUGAACAAAAAUUGUAGCCUACUGAGAAGACAGAACAGCAGGUUCCUGAAUUCAUGAUGUAUCUUGAAAUGUAGAUUCAUGUGUGAGUUUAAUGGAGAGCAAGGUUGGGGGAAGACAAAGAAGUGUAUUGGGUAAUUAGGGUGAACAUGCCAAACCUGUCUGGGCUGAGUUGUGAUAAGACAGGGUCCCCUCCCUCCACUUUGAAGUCGAAUACAGGGGGAGGAAGGCAAAGAGAGAAACUUACUGGUGUUAUGAGUGUGUGAGGGUAUACACAUUGAUAUACCUGGGCUGUGUUGUGAUAACAGACAGGGUUCCUGCCUUGAAGUUUUUGUGUUUUAUUUCUGAGUUGCAUUAGAUUUCUUGGGUGGCAUGUCAAGAGUUCUGUGUAACUUAAAAAAAACUUGCCUCCUACAGCCACAGAUUAAGCAUUGCACUUUUAUUCUGAAUUUCAGUUGGUGCUGGGGCCUCUACCAAGCAGAGCUUGGAUGUCUUAUGUGGACUUAUGCUUUUCAAACUACCACAUGAAGUAGUGCAACAAGCCUGUACAACUUGGGAUCUUGCACACCAUGUGCAGUCCAGCAGCCAUGUGCUGAGGCCUGCCAAGUGCUUGACAACUCUGUUUUUGCAGGCUCCACAAGCAGAGUCCUUUGAGCUGCCAUACAUGGCUGAUGGGCUGCAUUCAGUUUGGCAUACAAGUUGUGUGAGCAUGCAUGACAUUCUUGUACUUUAUCUAAUCUAUCACAGCAUAAAAACACGUUUCUUAGUUUGUGUCUAAACACUAAUGCUAACAUUUAUAUUUUGCAAUGCUUUUCUUCAGUUGCAGAAUUUGUAGCAAAGACUGUGAAUGUGAUUUCCUCUCCCCAUACCCCUGCCCCAAUUCUUUUUGUUGGCUUGUUCUUCUGAAACUUUAAUGAAAAGGUGCACUCUUGCUGAACAGAUCUCUACCAUGCAAUACAAGUAAGGUGACAUCUUCUGAGGUUUACAGACUUUUGAGUUAGAUUAAACUCUCUGAGAAAUAAGCAUUCCAUCCUGGACUACAGAUUUCUGCUCAAAAGGAAAGUGUGUUGCUUAAAUAGUGGCCUUCAACAUGUAGGAGCUGCAAGUUAUAGAUAGCCCUCCAAAUGUAGUCAUUGGGUGAAACUGCUGUUGCUGAGAUUUGAACAAUCCACAUGUUAUGAAAGAAAGAUGAUUAAUAAAAAUAUACAGGUGCUCUGUGCUACAGUACGCCCUCUGUAUGGGCAGGAAUCUACUUCAUUCACUACAGAGUGCAGACCACUAGUUUCCCCUAUGAUCUGGCUUUUCAGGAUGCUAGUUAUCGGUAGCAGUUAAAUUCAAUGAAAUGGAGACCAGAACUUUUAUCAGAUCACUGCAUAUGUAUGCUUUAUUUAGCAGCUUUUAUUGGAGGAUCAACCUCUUUUGGGGGGGUGGGACUUCCAUUAAAAUCUUCUGGGAAGUGGCCUGGAAAGUGAACUUAAGCAACAUGCAAUACACUUAACUUCUCAACAGAGUGAAUGGACAAUUAUAAGAUCUAGUUCAUGUGGACACUGACUCUGGUACUCCACUCCCAUAUCGCAGCACCAUUCUGCAAGAGGAGAUGUGGAGAACUUCUGGUCCUAAGGCAGGUUCUACUGUACUUCAUAAUAAAUUCAGCCCUCCUGCAGAUGUUGCACUGCAACUCCCACUUGGUGAUUUGGGGCGUUGUAGUCCAAAAAGAGCUGGAGGGCUGCAGUUACACAGCCUUGUUUUUGACGGGUAUGGCAAAAGAAACUCUACCCAAAUUCAGCCUUGGAUGAAUUCGUAGAUUCUAAAUGUAACUACCAGGCAAAGAUUGGCUGGGGUAUGGCUGAAGGUGCCUUACAAUGAAGAAGGGUUCCAAGGGAGUUCUGCUUCCUCAUUUUUAUUUUUAUUUUGUACCUGGAAGCUUGCAAGGAUGCUCAAAAGCAGUUUGUGGAUCUUGCAGCCCUAAGAAAAUGGAACUCAACCUGUUUGCUUGCUCAAGUAGGCAUGUGCACACACAGCCUCCAUGGUCAUACACAAAACGAACUAGUCGUGAGUAAGCAGCUAGUACAUGUAUAUCCAAUUUGAGCAUGCCUUUGCCAUAUGCAUUGUUGAUGUACAUACAAGAUCAGUUCCAGACAAACCCUCAACAUGUUUUUCAGCUUUGGGGAAUAGCAGGAGGGAGGGUAUCAGAUGCAGACAGUAAAAAGAUGGGGAAAGAUUCUGCUUUAUUUUUAUACGAACAACCAGUUAGAUGGGAUUCGUUCUAUGGUGCAGAGUCACUUAUUUAAUUAGUUUGCAUGUUUAGCAAGUGGCAAAAGAAACCACCUCUGAGCUGGAGAGCUUCAACUGGAGGCAUGUUCAAGAAGCCUACUUCCCUUCCUAGGUCAAAUGUUAAGGAAACCAAAACUAGCAAGGUAGCCUAUGCCACACAAACCAGAGAUGGGAUGAUGAGCCUCCACCAUGGGAAAAAGCAUGAACUGUUUCCUCCUUGAAGGAGAGUAAUAGGAAUGUUUACAGUAUCUUCUUACUAUGCAAGUUGGUCUUAUUUCAUAAUGCAGCCCAAUAGAUAACCCUCUAGGGCUAGAGGUCAGGGCCAGAGGGGUUGUAGGGGAAGUGUGAACCCAGAAGCCAGGUGUAAUAUCAGAGCCACUUGUUCUGUGUGGGCCAACUAAUUUGCAGAACAUGUAUACCCCCAACAAGAGUGAAAUUUAGUACUAGCCAAAACACAUUUGCGUUUGUGGGUUUCAGCUUGCUCUCUCUCUCUCUCUUUCUCUCUCUCUCUCUCUCUACACAGGGCAUUUACAGCAGUCUCGCCUGUAUUAAUUCAUA